GGAGAGUUUGAUCCUGGCUCAGGG
This 24-nucleotide ribosomal RNA is filed under the name synthetic construct. Its description in RNAcentral is "16S RIBOSOMAL RNA HELIX 1 from synthetic construct (PDB 2R1G, chain A)". The record is from RNAcentral.